GAUGAACGCUGGCGGCGUGCCUAAUACAUGCAAGUCGAGCGAACGGACGAGAAGCUUGCUUCUCUGAUGUUAGCGGCGGACGGGUGAGUAACACGUGGAUAACCUACCUAUAAGACUGGGAUAACUUCGGGAAACCGGAGCUAAUACCGGAUAAUAUUUUGAGCCGCAUGGUUCAAAAGUGAAAGACGGUCUUGCUGUCACUUAUAGAUGGAUCCGCGCUGCAUUAGCUAGUUGGUAAGGUAACGGCUUACCAAGGCAACGAUGCAUAGCCGACCUGAGAGGGUGAUCGGCCACACUGGAACUGAGACACGGUCCAGACUCCUACGGGAGGCAGCAGUAGGGAAUCUUCCGCAAUGGGCGAAAGCCUGACGGAGCAACGCCGCGUGAGUGAUGAAGGUCUUCGGAUCGUAAAACUCUGUUAUUAGGGAAGAACAUAUGUGUAAGUAACUGUGCACAUCUUGACGGUACCUAAUCAGAAAGCCACGGCUAACUACGUGCCAGCAGCCGCGGGUAUACGUAGGUGGGCAGCGUUAUCCGGAAUUAUUGGGCGUAAAGCGCGCGUAGGCGGUUUUUUAGUCUGAUGUGAAAGCCCACGGCUCAACCGUGGAGGGUCAUUGGAAACUGGAAAACUUGAGUGCAGAAGAGGAAAGUGGAAUUCCAUGUGUAGCGGUGAAAUGCGCAGAGAUAUGGAGGAACACCAGUGGCGAAGGCGACUUUCUGGUCUGUAACUGACGCUGAUGUGCGAAAGCGUGGGGAUCAAACAGGAUUAGAUACCCUGGUAGUCCACGCCGUAAACGAUGAGUGCUAAGUGUUAGGGGGUUUCCGCCCCUUAGUGCUGCAGCUAACGCAUUAAGCACUCCGCCUGGGGAGUACGACCGCAAGGUUGAAACUCAAAGGAACUGACGGGGACCCGCACAGGCGGUGGAGCAUGUGGUUUAAUUCGAAGCAACGCGAAGAACCUUACCAAAUCUUGACAUCCUUUGACAACUCUAGAGAUAGAGUCUUCCCCUUCGGGGGACAAAGUGACAGGUGGUGCAUGGUUGUCGUCAGCUCGUGUCGUGAGAUGUUGGGUUAAGUCCCGCAACGAGCGCAACCCUUAAGCUUAGUUGCCAUCAUUAAGUUGGGCACUCUAAGUUGACUGCCGGUGACAAACCGGAGGAAGGUGGGGAUGACGUCAAAUCAUCAUGCCCCUUAUGAUUUGGGCUACACACGUGCUACAAUGGACAAUACAAAGGGCAGCGAAACCGCGAGGUCAAGCAAAUCCCAUAAAGUUGUUCUCAGUUCGGAUUGUAGUCUGCAACUCGACUACAUGAAGCUGGAAUCGCUAGUAAUCGUAUAUCAGCAUGCUACGGUGAAUACGUUCCCGGGUCU
RNAcentral lists this ribosomal RNA (1371 nucleotides) under uncultured bacterium. Its description in RNAcentral is "bacterial SSU rRNA". It matches the Rfam family "Bacterial small subunit ribosomal RNA", at positions 28 to 1381 of the family's 1533-position model. The record is from RNAcentral.